UUGUGGUCGGUGAGAAAUUGACGGCGGUAAAGAAACUAUUGCCGGGGAUCAUAAGGAGUAUUAUUACUCGAGCAGCCCCAUCAAUUCCAAUAGUUGCUUGAAGAUUUGGGCAAGACGAAAUUUGAAAAGCCCUUUGUCUUCUGCAAUUCAACUUGAGGCAGGUCAAAACAAAUCCUGUCUGGAUCUUGACGUAGAAAUUGAUAGAUACCUUUCAGACUGUCCUCAAAGUUGAGAAAGAAGAAGACGAACAUAAUCUACCCUCUGCAACACUGGCAUUAUAUUGACCCACUUUCACGUUGAUUUACCAUAAUGGUCUGGUGUAAUAACUAAUAACCAUCAGUGGAAAAGCAGUGGUCCCAAAAUAUUAGAAUCCCAGUCUCCUUUACUAGCCGACGUCAUUUUCAAUUUGGGGAUGGAAUACCGGGACAAAACGUCAACCAACUUCUGAAGCUUAGCCAUUUUAUGAUCGUGCCCAGCCCAAGAAAAUCCCCCAGUCGACGCCAACUCCAAUGCAACCUGCUGCAGCCAGCACUGGAAACUCAACUUUCUUCGGCUGUUGCAUACACACAAGAGCUCCUGGCCGUUCCUCAAGUCUGUGGCUGUAAUGGAAGUCCGCAACUUUUAUAAGACCAUCAAGAUUACAAGGAGUUGUUGCCGACGACUUGGUGAGUUUGUUGGCGACAUCAUCAAGAUUUCGCGUUUUCAUUUAACAAAAGUUGGUAAGGGUAAAGUGCCCACGCGUACAAGAGACACAUUGUAAAAGAAUUUUGUGCUAGGCCUACUUAACGAAAAUCAUCAUCGUCUGCUUUUGUGCAUCGCUUUGCUUGAUGAUUGGAUGAAGUCAUUGGCUUCAUGAGUUCAUGGCAUGUCGUUGAUCUCUU
Molecule: long non-coding RNA, 881 nt
Organism: Daphnia pulicaria
Lineage: Eukaryota; Metazoa; Arthropoda; Branchiopoda; Diplostraca; Daphniidae
Exons: 3
Source: RefSeq, a predicted model, not a curated record